GUGGGGAAUUUUGGACAAUGGGCGCAAGCCUGAUCCAGCAAUGCCGCGUGCAGGAAGAAGGCCUUCGGGUUGUAAACUGCUUUUGUACGGAACGAAACGGUCCUGGUUAAUACCUGGGGCUAAUGACGGUACCGUAAGAAUAAGCACCGGCUAACUACGUGCCAGCAGCCGCGGUAAUACGUAGGGUGCGAGCGUUAAUCGGAAUUACUGGGCGUAAAGCGUGCGCAGGCGGUGCUGUAAGACAGGCGUGAAAUCCCCGGGCUCAACCUGGGAAUUGCGCUUGUGACUGCAAGGCUGGAGUGCGGCAGAGGGGGAUGGAAUUCCGCGUGUAGCAGUGAAAUGCGUAGAUAUGUGGAGGAACACCGAUGGCGAAGGCAAUCCCCUGGGCCUGCACUGACGCUCAUGCACGAAAGCGUGGGGAGCAAACAGGAUUAGAUACCCUAGUAGUCC
This 450-nucleotide ribosomal RNA is filed under the name uncultured bacterium. RNAcentral's name for it is "partial 16S ribosomal RNA". It matches the Rfam family "Bacterial small subunit ribosomal RNA", at positions 354 to 796 of the family's 1533-position model. The record is from RNAcentral.